Molecule: ribosomal RNA, 428 nt
Filed under: uncultured prokaryote
Description: bacterial SSU rRNA
Rfam family: Bacterial small subunit ribosomal RNA
Source: RNAcentral
UGAGGAAUUUUGCGCAAUGGGAGCAAUCCUGACGCAGCAACGCCGCGUGGGUGAUGAAGGCCUUCGGGUCGUAAAGCCCUGUCAGGUGGGAAGAAUGUCCCGGGACUGAACAGGUUUCGGGAGUGACGGUACCAUCAGAGGAGGCACCGGCUAACUCCGUGCCAGCAGCCGCGGUAAUACGGAGGGUGCAAGCGUUGUUCGGAUUCACUGGGUAUAAAGGGUGCGUAGGCGGCGCGAUAAGUCAGGGGUGAAAUAUGUCGGCUCAACCGACAAACUGCCUCUGAAACUGCCGCGCUUGAGGUCGGGAGAGGAAGGUGGAAUUCCAGGUGUAGCGGUGAAAUGCGUAAAUAUCUGGAGGAACACCAAUGGCGAAGGCAGCCUUCUGGCCCGAUUCUGACGCUGAGGCACGAAAGCCAGGGGAGCAAACG